AAAACUCAAAUGAAUUGACGGGGGCCCGCACAAGCGGUGGAGCAUGUGGUUUAAUUCGAUGCAACGCGAAGAACCUUACCUGGUCUUGACAUCCUCUGAACUUUCCAGAGAUGGAUUGGUGCCUUUCGGAACUUACAUACAGGUGCUGCAUGGGUGUCGUCACCUCUCGUCGCGAGAUGUGGGGUUAAAUCCCGCAACGAGAGCAACCCUUUUCCUUAUUUGCCACCGGAUUAAGCCGGGAACUUUAAGGAUACUGCCAGUGACAAACUGGAGGAAGGCGGGGAUGACGUCAAGUCAUCAUGGCCCUUACGACCUGGGCUACACACGUGCUACAAUGGACGGUACAAAGAGUUGCUACAUCGCGAGAGGAUGCUAAUCUCAUAAAACCGAUCGUAGUUCGGAUUGUAGGCUGCAACUCGACUCCAUGAAGUCGGAAUCGCUAGUAAUCGCGGAUCAGAAUGCCGCGGUGAAUACGUUCCCGGGCCUUGUACACACCGCCCGUCACACCAUGGGAGUUUGUUGCACCAGAAGUAGGUAGUCUAACCUUAGGGGGACGCUUACUAC
Molecule: ribosomal RNA, 564 nt
Filed under: Acinetobacter sp.
Lineage: Bacteria; Pseudomonadati; Pseudomonadota; Gammaproteobacteria; Moraxellales; Moraxellaceae
Description: bacterial SSU rRNA
Rfam family: Bacterial small subunit ribosomal RNA
Source: RNAcentral